GCCCCCGUGGCGGAAUUGGCAUACGCGCUAGACUUAGAAUCUAGUAUUACUGUGAGUUCGAAUCUCACCGGGGGUACC
RNAcentral lists this transfer RNA (78 nucleotides) under Gordonia phage Fryberger. RNAcentral describes it as "tRNA-Leu". It matches the Rfam family "tRNA". Rfam says of the family: Transfer RNA (tRNA) molecules are approximately 80 nucleotides in length. The record is from RNAcentral. RNAcentral also lists the same sequence under 4 other names. Lineage: Duplodnaviria; Heunggongvirae; Uroviricota; Caudoviricetes.